GGACAUUUUGGUUGUUUCCUCCUUUUAGCUGUUGUGAAAAGUGCUGCAAUGAACAUUGUUAUACAGGUUUCUGUUUGCAUUCGGGCCUUCACUUCUUGUGGAUAUUGGGAUUAUGAUUGGGAUUGCUGGAUCGAGUGGUAAUUCUUCAUUCAACUUUUUGAAGAACUUCCAAAAUGUUUUUCACAGUGGCUGUGCCAUUUUACCUUCCCACCACCAAUGGAUGAAGGUUCCAGUUUCUCCGCACCUUGCCAACAUUUUUUUCCAUUUUUUUUUAUUAUUGCUAUUUUAAUGAGGGUGAGGGAUAUCUCAUUGUGGUCCAGUAUGUUUUAAGUGGAAAAAACACUUUAUAAAAUAGAUAACUCGUACAAUUUCUAACUAAAAUUUAAAAACGUAUUAAUGAUUAUUUUUGCAUAUUGAGAUUACAAUGUAACAGGUCCUUAGGUGGUGCAAAUGGUUUGUGCUCAACUGCUAACUCACCUAGCAGUACAACAGAAGAAAAGGCCUGGCUAUCGGCUUCCAUCAAGAUUACAGUCCAUGGUAUAUUCAAUAUUCUUCGCCAACACCACAAUUCAAAGGCAUCAACUCUUCUUCGGUCUUCCUUAUUCAUUGUCCAGCUUUCACAUGCAUAUGAUGGGAUUGAAAAUGCCAUGGCUUGGGUCAGGUGCACCUUAGUCUUCAAGGUGCAACCCAUACUGAAGGCUGUGGUCUUUGAUCUUCAGCAAUAAGUGCUUCAAGUCCUUUUCACUUUCAGCAAGCAAGGUUGUAUCAUCUGCAUAAUGCAGGUUGUUAGUGAGUCUUCCUCCAAUCCUGAUGCCCUGUUCCUCUUCAUACAGUCCAGCUUCUCAGAUUAUUUGCCCAGCAUACAGAUUGAAUAGCCAGAAUCCAUCUGACAUCAGCAAUGAUUUCCCUGGCUCCACGUCCUCUUCUGAAACUGGCCUGAAUUUCUGGCAGUUCCCUGUCGAUAUACUGCUGCAGCCAUUUUCGAAUGAUCUUCCGUAAAAUUUUGCUUGCAUCUCUAGGCUACUCACAUACCCUCCAAGAUGAUGAUGAUAAUUGUCAUUGUUCCAUGCAGGUAAUGUUUAAUU
Long non-coding RNA from Loxodonta africana (African savanna elephant), 1085 nucleotides. RefSeq lists it as uncharacterized. The transcript has 5 exons. Lineage: Eukaryota; Metazoa; Chordata; Mammalia; Proboscidea; Elephantidae. The record is from RefSeq and is a predicted model, not a curated record.